UCAAUCAGAGCAGUCACAAAAUUUCUCCUUAAAGGCCUGAUAUUAGAGAAGCCCUGUUUCCAUAACAACCCAGCACUAGAACCCCACCCCUAGGGCAAACUAGAAACAAGAUUCCUGCUCCAGGCCAGCCAUCAGAAAAACUAUUAUCAUAACAACCCAGCACAAGACUCUCCCUCAGAGAAGGCAAUCAGCUGAACCCCACAAGGAGGAGAAGCCACCUGGGAAAGCUACCCUCCAAAGAAAGCAAGUAACUAAGAGCAAGGAGAAUUUAUAAACAGAAGCUGCAAGAAAGAGACCGAUAACAGAAAAAGCUGGUGAGACUUGUUUGAACUAGUGCAGAGUGAGUUGAGAAGAAGCAUUAAGACUAUUUUAUCUAAUGAUCACAACACUGCAAAGACAAACAACUUGGAAAGACUUCAGAAUAAAGAUCAUGUAACAGCCAGUUAUGAUUUCAAAAGGCUGGUGAUAAAUCAUACUUCCCACUUCUUGGUGGAGAAGUGAUGAAUUCUAGAUAACAAUAUCAUCUACUUCAGAGAGUUGUCAGAAGACUCAGUUAAUCAGUGGAGCAACAUUAUAUGCCAAGAAUUAGAUUAAGUACUGGAGUUACAAAAAGAGGCAGACAGUUCCUUCUUCUAGGAGCUUUCAAUCUAUAGAUCAAAUGAGAUAACAUGUAAAUCGCCUUACUAACACUACAUAGAGUGCUUCAGACUUGUACAUCCACCUUUUUCCUUGUCCUUCUGGUUUCUGACUUCCUGUUUCUACAGCCUUCCACUGAAUCUGAAAUGAAAGGAAUAAGUAUAUUAAAUAGUUUGUUGGUGAACCCAAGUAAAAGUUAAAAUGAGCCUAUAUCCUUGAGCCUCCUGGAAUUUGAAAUAUGUGAGAGCUGCAAAAAAUAAUAUCUAUGGAAAAUUUUCUGGAAUGUGUCGGUGGUUCAAGAACCCAUUCUUAGGAAAACUCCAGAGUUUUAAACUGCCUUGAAUAUUCAAAAAGUACAAUAUACAACCCUGUAAUGCAGUAAUUGCUUAGAAAGUCGCUUUGAAACCAAAUUUUUACUCAACAUUGAUUUACUCUAGACUUUAAAUGCAGGAAUGAUUAUUCCAAUUCAAUACAUGUUUAUUGAGUAUCUACUAUGAUGUUUAACAUCAUUUAUAUCAACUACCUUCAAAAUGUGGUCAUUUUGCUCAGUGCUUUUGAAAAGAGCAUGAAGAGGAAAGUAUUUUAUAUCAAAUAAAUCCUUAGGGGUUUUUUUGUUUUUUGUUUUUGUGGUUCUUCAUUUUUUUCCUGCUCCUUUUUCCAUUUUGCCUUUAACCUAUGUUCUCUCAUCAGGAAAGGUAUAAAUAUAUAAUUUUCUUGUAAGCCUGGAAGUAGAUUCUGAAUUAUGGACUUAUCAAUCCUCUGUUAUAGGUCUUGGAAAAAAUAGAACUCAGACAAAAAAACAUUGCCCUUGAAUGCUCCAGUACUAUUAUGACCUUGUAGCUUUUCCUUUAGACAUGGAAUCUGACUGUCACUGAUAUCUUAUAGUCAUUUUAUGAGAAGGAAUAGAGGGUCAAUUCAAACUUCAUAAAGCAUGUCCUAAUAGUCACUUGAAUAAAAAACCAAAUGACUGGGUUAGUAACCCACUUAGUUUGAGUGAUAGUUGAUUUUCAGCACUGAAAAUGGAGACAACAGCAGCCUCAAACAUCAACCUAGAAAUAUUGGCCAGGACCUAACAGCCUGAAAGAACAAUGAAG
This is a long non-coding RNA of Sarcophilus harrisii (Tasmanian devil), 1730 nucleotides long. RefSeq lists it as uncharacterized. The record is from RefSeq and is a predicted model, not a curated record. The transcript has 4 exons. NCBI's taxonomy places the organism in Eukaryota, Metazoa, Chordata, Mammalia, Dasyuromorphia, Dasyuridae.